RNAcentral lists this ribosomal RNA (468 nucleotides) under uncultured bacterium. RNAcentral describes it as "partial 16S ribosomal RNA". It matches the Rfam family "Bacterial small subunit ribosomal RNA", at positions 28 to 507 of the family's 1533-position model. The record is from RNAcentral.
GACGAACGCUGGCGGCGUGCUUAACACAUGCAAGUCGAACGGAAAGGCCUUGCGUUUGUGGCGUGCUGGAGUGCCGAACGGGGGAGUAACACGUGUGUAACCUGCGCUUGACUUUGGGAGAACUUAAGGAAACUGGGGUUAUUAUCGGAUAGGAGAUCCUGCUGCAUGGGGGUGGAGGGAAAAAUAUGGCGGUGUGGGAUGGACACGCGGCUUAUCGGUUUGUUGGUGGGGUGGUGACGUACCACGGCAUGGAGGGGUAGCCGGCCUGAGAGGGUGAGAGGGCACAAUGGGCCUCGGAGAGGGCCCAGACGGCAACGGGAGGCAGCAGUGGAAGAUAUUGCACAAUGGGCGGAAGGCUGAUGCAACGACUCCGCGUCCGUAAAGACGGCUUGUGGGGUGUAAACCGCGUUCGCCUGUGACGCAGCGUGAGUGACGGUAAUGAGUCAAGAAGCACCGGCUAACUACGUG